Long non-coding RNA from Etheostoma spectabile (orangethroat darter), 124 nucleotides. RefSeq lists it as uncharacterized. NCBI's taxonomy places the organism in Eukaryota, Metazoa, Chordata, Actinopteri, Perciformes, Percidae. The transcript has 3 exons. The record is from RefSeq and is a predicted model, not a curated record.
CCACGCAGGCAGUCCGCACCUCUAACCUGUUACCAUGGGAGCCGAAAUAGAAACGGACACGCCACGCAGCUGACACGCUCGCGCCACACAGGCCGUGUGCAGGAGCCCUGAAGGAAAUACUGGG